Molecule: unclassified non-coding RNA, 85 nt
Filed under: Pseudomonas antarctica
Lineage: Bacteria; Pseudomonadati; Pseudomonadota; Gammaproteobacteria; Pseudomonadales; Pseudomonadaceae
Source: RNAcentral
AUACAAGCUGGCUUGCCUGCGAUGGCAUCAACUCGGUGUACUUGAUGGACCGAGGUGUCUGCAUCGCAGGCAAGCCAGCUCCCAU